UGGAGCAAAUCCCAAAAAUAACGUCCCAGUUCGGACUGUAGUCUGCAACCCGACUACACGAAGCUGGAAUCGCUAGUAAUCGCGGAUCAGAAUGCCGCGGUGAAUACGUUCCCGGGUCUUGUACACACCGCCCGUCACACCAUGGGAGUCAGUAACGCCCGAAGUCAGUGACCUAACUGCAAAGAAGGAGCUGCCGAAGGCGGGACCGAUGACUGGGGUGAAGUCGUAACAAGGUAGCCGUAUCGGAAGGUGCGGCUGGAUCACCUCCUUUCUAAGGAA
This 279-nucleotide ribosomal RNA is filed under the name Ruminococcus sp. AF42-9BH. RNAcentral describes it as "partial 16S ribosomal RNA". It matches the Rfam family "Bacterial small subunit ribosomal RNA", at positions 1263 to 1533 of the family's 1533-position model. Lineage: Bacteria; Bacillati; Bacillota; Clostridia; Eubacteriales; Oscillospiraceae. The record is from RNAcentral. RNAcentral also lists the same sequence under 1 other name.